UAGUGGCCUGAGGAACUGAUGGUGCGACGCCGCGUGGGGGAAUGAAGGUCUUCGGAUUGUAAACCCCUGUCAUGUGGGAGCAAAUUAACAAGACCGUACCACAAGAGGAAGAGACGGCUAACUCUGUGCCAGCAGCCGCGGUAAUACAGAGGUCUCAAGCGUUGUUCGGAAUCACUGGGCGUAAAGCGUGCGUAGGCUGUUUCGUAAGUCGUGUGUGAAAGGGCGGGCUCAACCCGCGGACGGCACAUGAUACUGCGAGACUGAGUAAUGGAGGGGGAAUCGGAAUUCUCGGUGUGGCAGUGAAAUGCGUAGAUAUCGAGAGGAACACUCGUGGCGAAGGCGGGUUCCUGGACAUUAACUGACGCUGAGGCACGAAGGCCAGGGGAGCGAAUAGAAUCCAUACCCUCCAAUCCA
RNAcentral lists this ribosomal RNA (414 nucleotides) under Akkermansia muciniphila. RNAcentral's name for it is "bacterial SSU rRNA". It matches the Rfam family "Bacterial small subunit ribosomal RNA", at positions 369 to 797 of the family's 1533-position model. Lineage: Bacteria; Pseudomonadati; Verrucomicrobiota; Verrucomicrobiia; Verrucomicrobiales; Akkermansiaceae. The record is from RNAcentral.